CUUGGGAAUUUAAGAGGAAUUCCGUGUAAUUCGGAAACUGUGCCGCAACGGUAAAGUCCGGAACUCUUUUCCAAA
This 75-nucleotide non-coding RNA is filed under the name Candidatus Microgenomates bacterium. The record is from RNAcentral. Lineage: Bacteria; Candidatus Microgenomatota.